RNAcentral lists this ribosomal RNA (301 nucleotides) under uncultured bacterium. RNAcentral's name for it is "partial 16S ribosomal RNA". It matches the Rfam family "Bacterial small subunit ribosomal RNA", at positions 509 to 809 of the family's 1533-position model. The record is from RNAcentral.
CAGUAGCCACGGUAAUACGGAGGGUGCAAGCGUUAAUCGGAAUUACUGGGCGUAAAGCGCACGCAGGCGGUCUGACAAGUCAGAUGUGAAAUCCCCGGGCUUAACCUGGGAACUGCAUUUGAAACUGUCAGGCUGGAGUCUUGUAGAGGGGGGUGGAAUUCCAGGUGUAGCGGUGAAAUGCGUAGAGAUCUGGAGGAAUACCGGUGGCGAAGGCGGCCCCCUGGACAAAGACUGACGCUCAGGUGCGAAAGCGUGGGGAGCAAACAGGAUUAGAUACCCCAGUAGUCCUGUCUCUUAUACA